AGUGAACGCUGGCGGUAUGCCUAACACAUGCAAGUCGAACGGCAGCACAGUAAGCGCUUGCUCUUACGGGUGGCGGGGGGCGGACGGGUGAGGAAUACAUCGGAAUCUACUUUUUCGUGGGUGAUAACGUAGGGAAACUGACACUAAUACCGCAUACUACCUACGGGUGAGAGCAGAGGAUCUUCGGACCUUGCGCGAUUGAAUGAGCCGAUGUCGGAUUAGCUAGUUGGCGGGGUAAGGGCCCACCAAGGCGACGAUCCGUAGCUGGUCUGAGAGGAUGAUCAGCCACACUGGAACUGAGACACGGUCCAGACUACUACGGGAGGCAGCAGUGGGGAAUAUUGGACAAUGGGCGAAAGCCUGAUCCAGCAAUACCGCGUGGGUGAAGAAGGCCUUCGGGUUGUAAAGCCCUUUUGUUGGGAAAGAAAAGAAGCAGGUUAAUACCCCGCUGUUCUGACGGUACCCAAAGAAUAAGCACCGGCUAACUUCGUG
RNAcentral lists this ribosomal RNA (492 nucleotides) under uncultured bacterium. Its description in RNAcentral is "partial 16S ribosomal RNA". It matches the Rfam family "Bacterial small subunit ribosomal RNA", at positions 29 to 507 of the family's 1533-position model. The record is from RNAcentral.